Long non-coding RNA from Scophthalmus maximus (turbot), 2339 nucleotides. NCBI's taxonomy places the organism in Eukaryota, Metazoa, Chordata, Actinopteri, Pleuronectiformes, Scophthalmidae. The record is from Ensembl.
CAUAGAGAUGGAAUGGUGUGGUCGAUGGACUGAGCCUUUCAUGUCCGACAGGGAAACAGGAUGAAAGAGAGGAGGUGGGUGGGUUGUUUGGAAUAGAGAUGUGUGUCAUUCAAGGCUGAGUGGAAAAAAAGUCAGACUCAAAGAGAUUGAACAAGACACUGGACAGAGAGGACCACAGAUGAACCGCUGAAGGGAAAUAAUACAUGGGAGAGGAUUCAAAGGACCAAACCAUUUCGGAUUUUGAACGGGGGAAUGAGCCACAUUAUUCCUACACCAGAGGACCCACGUCCCAAAAUAUAAGCAUGGAUAACAGCGUUCAGAGGACAGUUGGAGCUUCAAGACCUCCUCCCGUUCUUCGACCUCCUCCACUGUUUCGCAGCAUAGGACCGCCUGGGCUCCCUGCCGGUGUGCCCCCACACAGACGACUCCGCUCUAUGUUCUGCAGGUCUAGAGCUGUGUUGCCCGCAAACACACACGUCGUAGGAGACUCAGACGUACGCACUUUCACAGACAUUCUAACGGGCAAUCAUGCUCCCACAAUUAUGUGCCCACUUGGGUGCAAUGACGCACUCUCAGAGGAUAUCCGGCGCGGCACAAUGUCCGCUGCACUGGAGCCUGCAGUGGACUCCGACCUACAAAGCGGAGCUGCAGUGUUCAGGUCAGGGUUUUUUGCAGAUCGCGUGAGUCCUCGGGCACACAAUGUGAGGCAAGACAGACGGCUGUUUUCUCACGUCUGUCCAUCUGCAAGAGUCAACGUCAGACAGGGCAGCGGGGUGACUCCACUUCAGACAUCAGAGGAGCCUGCGAUCAAAGAAAGGCAGCAUCAAAAGAGGAGAAAGAGGAGCUAUAGGGUGGACUGUACAGGGGAAGGUGCAGUGCCCUCGCUCACUGAAAAAAGAAGAGGAUACCAGGCUCUGUGAAUGGUUACAAAGUCUGGGCAUUGCAGGUGGCAAGGCCAAGGCCUCCAUCACUACAAACAACCAGCAACAGCUAUUUGUAUCCAGGUGCAGUGGGGUGAUGAGCCUCAGACACCCAGACACAGCGGCGAGCCAAAGGAGAGACAGACGCCCCCAUUUCCUACCUCCCAUCUGUCAGUCGGACUCCCUCCUUCAUGUGCCCCUCCUGCUUCCUGAAAACUCCCCCCCCGCCCUCACCCUGCACCGACCCGGACGCCCCCAUCCACUACCUACCCAUACCGCCACUGAAGCCCAUCUCAUCGAGGAGGAAGUGAGAAGCAGUCGGCCAGCCAGUUUUGUACUGAUCGUGUUUCAGACUCAUGCCUUGUUAGGUUCUCACUGGCUCUCGAAUGACGACAAUUUCAAAACGUUAUGGAUAUACUGUAAAAACCUGUGUUUUAUUCUAAUCAAUUGAUUCCAUGCAGAUAAACCAGGGGAGAAUGAACACCUCCAUUAAAGGCUUUUCUUCAGCAGUUGUUGGAGCUGCUAUAUCUGUUUACAUGAUAUUAAGUUAUUCUAUUUUACUCCCAACGUAUUCAUAAAGGAGGACAAUUAACGUGGAGCAUAUCUUCUGGUCUUUGUGCCUUUAUUGAAUAGGCAGGACAUGUAGGGGGGAAAGCAGAAGGGAAGGAUAUGCAGCAAACGUCCAAACCCUCUGCUCAGGGUAUUUAUGUCCAUGUGGUAUGUACCCUAAACAUCCAGCUAUCAGAUUGCCCCAACAGUACAGCAUUCGCCAGGGGGGGCAUGUGGGGAUUGUGUAGUAGCUCAACAACAAAACAAAACAAAAACACAACAGAAAACCUGGAUUUCAUUUGAAAAUAUAAAUUGACAUAUUGAGUCAGCCGAGCGCAACCUGUUGUAAAUGUGUCAGAAGUAGUCAGCGAGUGAGCAGGAUAACAAUGCAUAGGUAACGAAGAAGUCCAAAUAGUUAGGUACAGACGAGGUGGGCUUGUUAAAGUGGUAGCUGAAAGUAAUGGAUAUAGAGUUGAAAAUGUUCUAAUCUAAAUAGUAAAAGUAACAAUUGUUAGAAUAAAUUAGUCAAACAAUAGCCACUUUUACAUAGUGUUGAAUAACAUUCAGUUUAAAAUCACUUCAAAUGAAUACAUUUGGGAAAUGAUUGAUGGAGUAAAUUAAGGCCUUAAUUGGUUAAUGAGUUAAUCAGGUAUGGUUGUGGUAGCACAUUGGAAUAAAAAGGCUUGCAAAAACUCUUAUAGAGGUGUUCAUGAUAUUGCGUCCAAUCCCUUUUUUCGUUUUGCAUUAGAUUACGAAAAAUAUUCCAGUGAUCUAUAUUUCAGGCUUUUGGUCUGUUUGCUCAUUCCUCUUUUUUCUUGUCGUGCCCUCAUUUUUCCAGGAGAGGGCGAUGUGAUUUGAACAGACGGGAGG